UACGUAGGGAGCAAGCGUUGUUCGGAUUUACUGGGCGUAAAGGGCGCGUAGGCGGCAUAUUAAGUCAUCUGUGAAAUCUCCGAGCUUAACUCGGAACUGUCAGCUGAUACUGAUGUGCUAGAGUGCGGAAGGGGCAAUCGGAAUUCCUGGUGUAGCGGUGGAAUGCGCAGAUAUCAGGAAGAACACCCGUGGCGAAGGCGGCUCUCUGGAACGCAACUGACGCUGAGACGCGAAAGCGUGGGGAGCAAACAGG
This 253-nucleotide ribosomal RNA is filed under the name uncultured bacterium. RNAcentral's name for it is "partial 16S ribosomal RNA". It matches the Rfam family "Bacterial small subunit ribosomal RNA", at positions 524 to 776 of the family's 1533-position model. The record is from RNAcentral.